AGGGUUUGAUCAUGUGCCUCAGAAUCAACGCUGGCGGCGUGCCUAACACAUGCAAGUCGAACGAGAAAGGGCACCUUCGGGAGCCUGAGUAAAGUGGCGAACGGGUGAGUAGCACGUGGGUGACCUGCCCUAUGGAGGGGGAUAACCCGGGGAAACCCGGGCUAAAACCGCAUAAGCCUUUAAAGUCGAAUUUAAAGGGAAAGGGGUAAGGCCUUCGGGUCUUAUCUUGCCGAAGGAGGGGCCCGCGUCCCAUUAGCUAGUUGGUGGGGUAAGGGCCUACCAAGGCAACGAUGGGUAGCCGGUCUGAGAGGACGGACGGCCACACUGGAACUGAGACACGGUCCAGACUCCUACGGGAGGCAGCAGUGGGGAAUUUUGGGCAAUGGGCGAAAGCCUGACCCAGCAACGCCGCGUGGAGGACGAAGGCCUUCGGGUCGUAAACUCCUGUCCGAGGGGAAGAAGAAAGUGACGGUACCCUUGGAGGAAGCCCCGGCUAACUCCGUGCCAGCAGCCGCGGUAAGACGGGGGGGGCAAGCGUUGUUCGGAAUUACUGGGCGUAAAGGGCGCGUAGGCGGCCUGGGAAGUCUUGGGUGAAAUCCCUCAGCUCAACUGGGGAAUGGCCUGAGAAACCACUGGGCUGGAGUGCUGGAGAGGGAAGCGGAAUUCCCCGGUGGAGCGGUGAAAUGCGUAGAUAUCGGGGAGGAACACCGGAGGCGAAGGCGGCUUCCUGGACAGACACUGACGCUGAGGCGCGAAAGCUAGGGGAGCAAACGGGAUUAGAUACCCCGGUAGUCCU
RNAcentral lists this ribosomal RNA (796 nucleotides) under uncultured bacterium. Its description in RNAcentral is "bacterial SSU rRNA". It matches the Rfam family "Bacterial small subunit ribosomal RNA", at positions 8 to 797 of the family's 1533-position model. The record is from RNAcentral.